Molecule: ribosomal RNA, 471 nt
Filed under: uncultured bacterium
Lineage: Bacteria
Description: bacterial SSU rRNA
Rfam family: Bacterial small subunit ribosomal RNA
Source: RNAcentral
GACGAACGCUGGCGGCGCGCCUAAUGCAUGCAAGUCGAGCGACGCAUAUCGGAGGAGUAAUCCACUGGUAUGACGGAGCGGCGAACGGGUGAGUAUCACGUGAGGAACCUGCCCCGAAGACCGGGAUAGCCCGGGAAACCCGGAUUAAUACCGGAUACUCUCUACAGAUCGCAUGGUCUGUUGAGGAAAGGCCUUUGUGCUUCGGGAUGGUCUCGCGGCCUAUCAGCUAGUUGGUGAGGUAAUGGCUCACCAAGGCAACGACGGGUAGCUGGUCUGAGAGGACGAUCAGCCACACUGGGACUGAGACACGGCCCAGACUCCUACGGGAGGCAGCAGCAGGGAAUCUUGUCCAAUGGGCGAAAGCCUGAGACAGCGACGCCGCGUGGGGGAUGAAGGCCUUCGGGUUGUAAACCCCUUUCAGGAGGGACGAAAUUGACGGUACCUCCAGAAGAAGCCCCGGCCAACUACGUG